RNAcentral lists this transfer RNA (73 nucleotides) under Stegodyphus mimosarum. It matches the Rfam family "tRNA". Rfam says of the family: Transfer RNA (tRNA) molecules are approximately 80 nucleotides in length. Their secondary structure includes four short double-helical elements and three loops (D, anti-codon, and T loops). Further hydrogen bonds mediate the characteristic L-shaped molecular structure. tRNAs have two regions of fundamental functional importance: the anti-codon, which is responsible for specific mRNA codon recognition, and the 3' end, to which the tRNAs corresponding amino acid is attached (by aminoacyl-tRNA synthetases). tRNAs cope with the degeneracy of the genetic code in two manners: having more than one tRNA (with a specific anti-codon) for a particular amino acid; and 'wobble' base-pairing, i.e. permitting non-standard base-pairing at the 3rd anti-codon position. The record is from Rfam by way of RNAcentral. Lineage: Eukaryota; Metazoa; Arthropoda; Arachnida; Araneae; Eresidae.
GCCUUCGUUAUGUAAUGGUCAACACACUCGGCGCGUAUUCGAGAGGUCCGAGGUUCGAGUCCCAGCGAGGGCA